GCGAGCCCUUCUCUCGUCUCUCUCUCUCUCUCUCUCUCUCCUCCCCUUCUUCUGCUACGUUUUGUUGCACCGCGGAGAGAGGGGACGGCCACUACGAGGGUGGUAUGGGUGGAGGAGGAUGGGGAGCGGUGGGGCCCGUUCCGGUCUUCCCGGCCAAUCCAGCGGGUCCACGUGUCCCCUUUGACCCGCCCAAAGCGAGCUGUUGUCGUUUGUUUCUCAU
This 220-nucleotide long non-coding RNA is filed under the name Spirodela polyrhiza (greater duckweed). RNAcentral's name for it is "long non-coding RNA (SPOL_LNC001880)". The record is from RNAcentral. Lineage: Eukaryota; Viridiplantae; Streptophyta; Magnoliopsida; Alismatales; Araceae.